UUUUAUUUUUUUCCUUCAAACCCCUGUGUGGCUAUUUGCAUUUUUGUUUGAGGGUUGUUAUUUAAAAAUGAGAAAACCUUUUGUUUUAUUCAGUGAGGUCUUGGUGGGCUGGCUCCCUCCUUCUUACCUCGGCCGCUUCACUUGUGUCGCCAGCGCAGCCCACCCCAUGUCCGUCUCCUUCCUCUCGCCGUCAUCACCCCUGUAUGACCGAAGGCCACCACCGAUCCUCUCCUUCCUCGAUAAUGCGGCACCAAGCGUGCGUCCCGAGGCCAUAUAAGCGGCUCGUCGCCCUCUCCAGCCCUAGCCCGUUCCAUUUGCUCCCUCCUCUCUCCCUCGCGCCGUCAGGGGAGCCCUUUGACACCGACGCCAUGGAAGGGCUCCUGUGAGCUUCGCAGCAGUCAACAGAUUGUGUUCCCCCGCCUCUUCGUCAGCGC
Molecule: long non-coding RNA, 434 nt
Filed under: Hordeum vulgare
Lineage: Eukaryota; Viridiplantae; Streptophyta; Magnoliopsida; Poales; Poaceae
Description: long non-coding RNA (HVUL_LNC009962)
Source: RNAcentral